RNAcentral lists this unclassified non-coding RNA (767 nucleotides) under Borreliella burgdorferi (Lyme disease spirochete). Its description in RNAcentral is "partial 16S-23S ribosomal RNA intergenic spacer". The stretch from base 126 to 199 matches the Rfam family "tRNA". The record is from RNAcentral. Lineage: Bacteria; Pseudomonadati; Spirochaetota; Spirochaetia; Spirochaetales; Borreliaceae.
UCUUUUCUUUUGAUAAGAGAGUUUUUAAAACCAGUGUUAUUUAUGUAAGUUUAAGAGAAGUUUAUGUAUUAAAUUAUUGAUAUUAAAUAGUUUUAUUAGGCUUAGACUUAAUUUUAGGUCAUUUUGGGGGUUUAGCUCAGUUGGCUAGAGCAUCGGCUUUGCAAGCCGAGGGUCAAGGGUUCGAGUCCCUUAACCUCCAUUGGGCUUAUGCCCUAAAUUGUAAUUAAGUAUGUUUUUAAGUAACUUUGUUAAAGUAAUUGUUGGAAUGUGAAACACAAGAAGUUAAAAUUUCUGGGUUAAGUUGAGAUCUGUUGAUAUUAAGAAAAAUGUCUAGAAGCAAAAGCAAGCUUUCGAUAAAACCCGAAGUUGUUUCGCUAAAGUGCAAGGAUUAAACAGGAUUGUAUUUUUCAGCAGCCUAUUUUAUAAACGAUCUGCAUUUAGUAAAUAGUUUUUAGUUAGGAAAUAAUGUAGAUUACUAAGUGUGAUGUCUGAGAGAAGGACAAGUAUUGUAGCGAGCUUAAAUCCUUAUUAUCGUUGCCAGUAUUUAGUGGUAGGGAUUCGGAUAAGAUUGCCAGUUAUAAGUUGGAGGAAGGCAAAGAUUGCAUUAAAUCGUUAUCGCUCUUAUGUUUUAGGUUACAAGUUUGCAACAAUAACUCAAAAAAGCCAAGCAAAAUACCAUAAAGCAGAUUUCAGUUUGGAUUUGCCCGACACUCAAUGGCAUGAAGUUGUAAUUGUUAGUAAUCGUGUAUACCUUAAUAUAGAAAUUG